RNAcentral lists this ribosomal RNA (253 nucleotides) under uncultured bacterium. RNAcentral describes it as "partial 16S ribosomal RNA". It matches the Rfam family "Bacterial small subunit ribosomal RNA", at positions 524 to 776 of the family's 1533-position model. The record is from RNAcentral.
UACGAAGGGUGCAAACGUUGCUCGGAAUCAUUGGGCGUAAAGCGCACGUAGGCGGCGCUGCAAGUCGGACGUGAAAUCCCUCGGCUCAACCGAGGACGUGCAUCCGAAACUGCAGUGCUCGAGUAUGGAAGAGGGUCGCGGAAUUCUCGGUGUAGAGGUGAAAUUCGUAGAUAUCGGGAGGAACACCAGUGGCGAAGGCGGCGACCUGGGCCAAUACUGACGCUGAGGUGCGAAAGCGUGGGGAGCAAACAGG